CUCAAUUUUUGCGAGAAGAGUAUAUUUGUCAUAAGUUUGUUUGGUCUGAAACUUUCGAUCAUGUUAUGGGAUAGAGGAGGACUAAUUUGACGACCGGUUAUCAAACCACCUAUAUACCGACCCAAGAUGUGAUUUGGGGGAUUCGAGUCCGGCCUCGUCGCUGUCCUCGAUCCGGGAAUGAUGGAAGGAAUGAUAUUAAGAUGGAGAAGAUGUACCUUAACCCUUUCGGCCCGAUCGGUGACUAUGAUCACCCAACGCCCGACGAUCGCUCUGUCCGAUUGGUGACCAUAGUCACCCAACGCCUGACGCUCGCUCUGUACGAGCUAUGACAAUGGUAACCCAACAUUUGACGCUCGUUAUGUACGAACGGUGACCGUGGUAACCCAACAUUAUGUUAUAAUUUUUUAAGCAUUUUUUUUAAGAGCGACUGCACUCGCUCUGCGUAAGAUAGCGUGGUAUUGUGCGUCUGACGGGCGCUUGCAGUUGUUCCGCAAGUACGGACGCUUGCCGCGACUGCUCGGUCAGCGGGGACGGCGCGACGUAGAAUGCGUCCGUAGCGAAAGGGUUAAGAUAAAAUUGAUCGGAAAAGCCACGUCUGA
Molecule: long non-coding RNA, 599 nt
Organism: Neodiprion fabricii
Lineage: Eukaryota; Metazoa; Arthropoda; Insecta; Hymenoptera; Diprionidae
Exons: 4
Source: RefSeq, a predicted model, not a curated record